UACGGGGGGGAGCAAGCGUUUGUUCGGAUUUACUGGGCGUAAAGGGCGCGUAGGCGGUCGUGACAAGUCACUUGUGAAAUCUCCGGGCUUAACUCGGAACGGUCAAGUGAUACUGUCGGACUAGAGUACAGAAGGGGCAACUGGAAUUCUCGGUGUAGCGGUGAAAUGCGUAGAUAUCAGGAGGAACACCGAUGGCGAAGGCAGGUCUCUGGGCAUUAACUGACGCUGAGGAGCGAAAGCAUGGGGAGCGAACAGG
Molecule: ribosomal RNA, 256 nt
Filed under: uncultured bacterium
Lineage: Bacteria
Description: partial 16S ribosomal RNA
Rfam family: Bacterial small subunit ribosomal RNA
Source: RNAcentral